GAUGAACGCUGGCGGCGUGCUUAACACAUGCAAGUCGAACGGAAAGGCCUCUGCUUGCAGGGGUACUCGAGUGGCGAACGGGUGAGUAACACGUGGGUGAUCUGCCCUGCACUUCGGGAUAAGCCAGGGAAACUGGGUCUAAUACCGGAUAGGACAAUGGUUUGGAUGCUGUUGUGGAAAGUUUUUCGGUGUGGGAUGAGCUCGCGGCCUAUCAGCUUGUUGGUGGGGUAAUGGCCUACCAAGACGUAGACGGGUAGCCGGCCUGAGAGGGUGUACGGCCACAUUGGGACUGGGAUACGGCCCAGACUCCUACGGGAGGCAGCAGUGGGGAAUAUUGCACAAUGGGCGCAAGCCUGAUGCAUCGACGCCGCGUGGGGGAUGACGGCCUUCGGGUUGUAAGCUCCUUUGGCUAGGGACGAAGCGUUUUUGUGACGGUACCUGGAGAAGAAGCACCGGCUAACUACGUG
This 467-nucleotide ribosomal RNA is filed under the name uncultured bacterium. Its description in RNAcentral is "partial 16S ribosomal RNA". It matches the Rfam family "Bacterial small subunit ribosomal RNA", at positions 28 to 507 of the family's 1533-position model. The record is from RNAcentral.